RNAcentral lists this ribosomal RNA (530 nucleotides) under uncultured bacterium. RNAcentral's name for it is "bacterial SSU rRNA". It matches the Rfam family "Bacterial small subunit ribosomal RNA", at positions 640 to 1040 of the family's 1533-position model. The record is from RNAcentral.
GCUAGAAUAUGUGAGAGGGAAGUAGAAUUCCAGGUGUAGCGGUGAAAUGCGUAGAGAUCUGGAGGAAUACCGAUGGCGAAGGCAGCUUCCUGGCAUAAUAUUGACACUGAGAUUCGAAAGCGUGGGUAGCAAACAGGAUUAGAUACCCUGGUAGUCCACGCCGUAAACGAUGUCUACUAGCCGUUGGGGUCCUUGAGACUUUAGUGGCGCAGUUAACGCGGUAAGUAGACCGCCUGGGGAGUACGGCCGCAAGGUUAAAACUCAAAUGAAUUGACGGGGGCCCGCACAAGCGGUGGAGCAUGUGGUUUAAUUCGAUGCAACGCGAAGAACCUUACCUGGUCUUGACAUAGUGAGUCGCGUGUUCUAGACCCGAAGCGGUGUGAUCUAUCCAUGGCCAGGAUGAAGCGUCGGUAAGACGUCGUGGAGGUCCGAACCCACUUCAGUUAAAAUGGAGGGGAUGAGUUGUGGAUAGGGGUGAAAGGCCAAUCAAACACCGUGAUAGCUGGUUCUCCCCGAAAUGCAUUUAGGUG